AACAAAUUCUUUCAUGGCAGCAUUGUCUUUAUUUGCUUCUACAAACUUGUGAACAAUCUUAGUGAAAUCACGA
This 73-nucleotide transfer RNA is filed under the name Acinetobacter baumannii BJAB07104. RNAcentral's name for it is "tRNA-Val". The record is from RNAcentral. Lineage: Bacteria; Pseudomonadati; Pseudomonadota; Gammaproteobacteria; Moraxellales; Moraxellaceae.